This 506-nucleotide ribosomal RNA is filed under the name uncultured bacterium. RNAcentral's name for it is "partial 16S ribosomal RNA". It matches the Rfam family "Bacterial small subunit ribosomal RNA", at positions 29 to 523 of the family's 1533-position model. The record is from RNAcentral.
AUUGAACGCUGGCGGCAGGCCUAACACAUGCAAGUCGGACGGUAGCACAGAGGAGCUUGCUCCUCGGGUGACGAGUGGCGGACGGGUGAGUAAUGUCUGGGGAUCUGCCCGAUAGAGGGGGAUAACCACUGGAAACGGUGGCUAAUACCGCAUAACGUCGCGAGACCAAAGAGGGGGACCUUCGGGCCUCUCACUAUCGGAUGAACCCAGAUGGGAUUAGCUAGUAGGCGGGGUAACGGCCCACCUAGGCGACGAUCCCUAGCUGGUCUGAGAGGAUGACCAGCCACACUGGAACUGAGACACGGUCCAGACUCCUACGGGAGGCAGCAGUGGGGAAUAUUGCACAAUGGGCGCAAGCCUGAUGCAGCCAUGCCGCGUGUAUGAAGAAGGCCUUCGGGUUGUAAAGUACUUUCAGCGGGGAGGAAGGCGAUGUGGUUAAUAACCGCAUCGAUUGACGUUACCCGCAGAAGAAGCACCGGCUAACUCCGUGCCAGCAGCCGCGGUAA